RNAcentral lists this ribosomal RNA (492 nucleotides) under uncultured bacterium. Its description in RNAcentral is "partial 16S ribosomal RNA". It matches the Rfam family "Bacterial small subunit ribosomal RNA", at positions 29 to 507 of the family's 1533-position model. The record is from RNAcentral.
AGUGAACGCUGGCGGUAGGCCUAACACAUGCAAGUCGAACGGCAGCACAGUAGGAGCUGGCUCUUGCGGGUGGCGAGUGGCGGACGGUUGAGGAAUACAUCGAAAUCUACUGGUUCGUGGGGGGUAACGUAGGGAAACCUACGCGAAGACCGCAUACGACGUACGAGUGAAAGCAGGGGAUGGUCGAACCAUGUGCUGUUGAAUGAGCCGAUGUCGGAUUAGCUAGUUGGCGGGGUAAAGGCCCACCAAGGCUACGAUCCGUAGCUGGUAUGAGAGGGUGAUUCGCCAGCCUGUAACUGAGGCACGGUCCACACUCCGACGGGAGGACGCAGUGGGGACUAUUGGACAAUGGGCGCAAGCCUGAUCCAGCCCUACCGCGUGAGUGCAGAACGACUUCGGCUUGUAAAGCCAUUUUGUUGGGAAAGAAAAGCAGCAGGUUCAUACCCCGCUGUUCUGACGGUACCCACAGAAUAAGCACCGGCUAACUUCGUG